This 592-nucleotide long non-coding RNA is filed under the name Eucalyptus grandis. RNAcentral describes it as "long non-coding RNA (EGRA_LNC002083)". The record is from RNAcentral. Lineage: Eukaryota; Viridiplantae; Streptophyta; Magnoliopsida; Myrtales; Myrtaceae.
GUGAUCUGAUGCGUCACUUUGGUAAGCGAGUACCUUAGAGAAUGCACGUGGGUCCAGUAUUUGGAAUGGCAUCUAAAAGGGCACGUGGCUCGGUGAUCUGAUGCGUCACUUUGGUAAGCGAGUACCUUAGAGAAUGCACGUGGGCCCGGGCAUCGUAAAAAGGACACGUGGCUCGGUGGCUUGAUGUACCACCUUGGCGAAGAGGUCGCCUUAGAGAAUGCACGUGGGUCCGAGGUUUGAGGCACGUGGCUCGGAGACUUGGAAGGUCGUCCUGGAGAAUGCACGUGGCCUAGCUUUUAAAUAUCCCAUAGUGAGGAUUGAAUUGUAUGACAUGUAAUCGACUAGUUCGAUUUGUUUGAAGCGAAUGGCUGUUUAUGGUGAAUUGUACUGACUUGCAGGUGGGAUCAGAGGCCAAGGUAAGUCCUCUGCCCUGUGCGUGUUUAGGCAGCCUUUAGUAUAUUGGUUUACUAAUCGGGCUUAGUGGGGUAGAACUCGCUGAGACGUAGUCUCAUCCCAGUUUGGGGAAAACCAUUUCAGGACCCCGCUGAAGAGCUGAGGAGGAGGAAUCCGAGAAGGAGAACUCGGAGGUGAG